UACGGAGGGGGCUAGCGUUGUUCGGAAUUACUGGGCGUAAAGCGCGCGUAGGCGGGCUGUUAAGUCGGGGGUGAAAUCCCGGGGCUCAACCCCGGAACGGCCUCCGAUACUGGCAGCCUCGAGGUCGGGAGAGGUGAGUGGAAUGGCGAGUGUAGAGGUGAAAUUCGUAGAUAUUCGCCGGAACACCAGUGGCGAAGGCGGCUCACUGGCCCGAUACUGACGCUGAGGUGCGACAGCGUCGGGAGCAAACAGG
RNAcentral lists this ribosomal RNA (253 nucleotides) under uncultured bacterium. RNAcentral's name for it is "partial 16S ribosomal RNA". It matches the Rfam family "Bacterial small subunit ribosomal RNA", at positions 524 to 776 of the family's 1533-position model. The record is from RNAcentral.